Molecule: ribosomal RNA, 642 nt
Filed under: Amphiroa fragilissima
Lineage: Eukaryota; Rhodophyta; Florideophyceae; Corallinales; Lithophyllaceae
Description: SSU rRNA
Rfam family: Eukaryotic small subunit ribosomal RNA
Source: RNAcentral
CCAGCAGCCGCGGUAAUUCCAGCUCUGUAAGCGUAUACCAAAGUUGUUGCAGUUAAAACGCUCGUAGUCGGAUAUUGGCAGCUCCGGGAGUGUGCGCGUCGUGUGUGCGCUCAGCGGGGGUUGCUUUUGUGGUAUUGUGUGUGAUGAAGCAUUUUAAUUAAUGAACGUCUAUCGCGACCACUUUUUACUGUGAGAAAAUCAGAGUGUUCAAAGCAGGCAUUUGUCGUGAAUGUAUUAGCAUGGAAUAAUGGAAUAGGACUUGUUUCUAUUUUGUUGGUUUGUUGUUGGGAACGAGUAAUGAUUAAGAGGGACAGUUGGGGGCAUUUGUAUUUGGAGGCUAGAGGUGAAAUUCUUAGAUUCUCCAAAGACAAACUGCUGCGAAAGCGUCUGCCAAGGAUGUUUUCAUUGAUCAAGAACGAAAGUAAGGGGAUCGAAGACGAUCAGAUACCGUCGUAGUCUUUACUAUAAACGAUGAGGACUGGGGAUCGGGCGAGGGAUUACGAUGACCCGCCCGGCACCCUUCGAGAAAUCAAAGUGUUUGCUUUCUGGGGGGAGUAUGGUCGCAAGUCUGAAACUUAAAGGAAUUGACGGAAGGGCACCACCAGGUGUGGAGCCUGCGGCUUAAUUUGACUCAACACGGGA